UAGGCUUUAUUUUAAUUAAAAUAUCUGGUUGUUACCCAGGAGAUGUAAAUAUUUACAAGCUUAU
RNAcentral lists this transfer RNA (64 nucleotides) under Hiatula diphos (diphos sanguin). RNAcentral describes it as "Soletellina diphos (diphos sanguin) tRNA-Asn". The record is from RNAcentral. RNAcentral also lists the same sequence under 1 other name. Lineage: Eukaryota; Metazoa; Mollusca; Bivalvia; Cardiida; Psammobiidae.